UACGAAGGGGGCUAGCGUUGUUCGGAAUUACUGGGCGUAAAGCGCGCGUAGGCGGAUUGUUAAGUCAGGGGUGAAAUCCCGAGGCUCAACCUCGGAACUGCCUCUGAUACUGGCGAUCUUGAGUCCGGGAGAGGUGAGUGGAAUUCCUAGUGUAGAGGUGAAAUUCGUAGAUAUUAGGAAGAACACCAGUGGCGAAGGCGGCUCACUGGCCCGGUACUGACGCUCAUGUGCGAAAGCGUGGGGAGCAAACAGG
This 253-nucleotide ribosomal RNA is filed under the name uncultured bacterium. Its description in RNAcentral is "partial 16S ribosomal RNA". It matches the Rfam family "Bacterial small subunit ribosomal RNA", at positions 524 to 776 of the family's 1533-position model. The record is from RNAcentral.